RNAcentral lists this long non-coding RNA (223 nucleotides) under Mus musculus (house mouse). Its description in RNAcentral is "lincRNA-EC88". Lineage: Eukaryota; Metazoa; Chordata; Mammalia; Rodentia; Muridae. The record is from RNAcentral.
GCCUCUGUGAAGGGGCCCCUCUUUCCUGGUGUUCUGGGUCCCUCUCCUCCCAGCUCCACUGCAGCAUCCAGAUUUCUCGAAGUGGCUGAUGUGUGUCUCAUGAUGAGUACUGAACAUCAUAAAAGGAGAAGUGACAAGCAAGCCCGAGUCUAGAGAGUAAGAGAAGCCACAGGCUAAGAAGUGGGACCAUGGCUUAGAAGACCAGAACAGAAGAAAAAGCAAG